UCUUGUUGUAUACUGUAUUUGUGUCUGCCUGUCCGGUUCUGAUCACUUUGGAUUAUCUGUUACUUCUUUCUGGACCUCCUACACAUACCUUCUGCAGGUUGUUUAAGCUCCAAAAGGCAGAGAGGUAAGUGAAAAAUCCCCUCUAACACAUUAUGGGCCUUGACACCGCUUCAACUCCUGUAGCAUAGUGACGUUUGCCAACCAGAAUGCUCUGUGAUCUCAUUAUACUAAUGGACACCUAAGGGCAAGAGCGGGUGCAGCUCUAGAAAUGUCCAGAACUCGCCACGCUUUUGGCACGUCCUCCAGCUUCUCCUGGGGGAUCCAGAGGCAUACCCGAGCCACAUGGGAUAUGUAAUCUGCCGAGAUGUGGGUCUGCCCUGGGCUCCACAGGGAUGUGUCCAGGUCAGAUGCUUGAACCACCUCAACUGGCUUUUUUACUCAUGGGAAGGAAAGAGCUGCAGGUCUACACGCUCUAUAGAGAUGUCUGAUCUCAGGUGUAUGUAUCUGUGUGUUUGUGUCACACCCACUUGAGAAACUGAAUGAGCAGCCUCGCGUAGCCCAGCAUCAUGUUAGGCUCCAGGUUCGGCAGCGUGACCAACUCAUAAAGCAGCUUGAUGAAGAGAAUGUGGUCCUCUUUGCUGAACCUGCGGCCGUACAGCUUCAGAAACCUAAUGGAUGGAGAACGGUCCAUCAGUGAGCAGAUACUAACUACUUCCUUCAGCUGACCGAUAUCCUAAAAACAUCGUAAGAGAAAAAAAUCACAAAAUAUAUAUUUAUAUAGCACCUUUUUUUAAUGUCAGAUAUUACUUUCAAUAAAAGCGGAACACAUUUUAAACACACUGACUGAAAAACUGAACCUAAUUGUACAGAACA
Molecule: long non-coding RNA, 873 nt
Organism: Eleginops maclovinus (Patagonian blennie)
Lineage: Eukaryota; Metazoa; Chordata; Actinopteri; Perciformes; Eleginopidae
Exons: 3
Source: RefSeq, a predicted model, not a curated record